RNAcentral lists this RNase P RNA (299 nucleotides) under Alcanivorax sp. Its description in RNAcentral is "partial RNase P RNA component class A". It matches the Rfam family "Bacterial RNase P class A", at positions 1 to 276 of the family's 367-position model. Rfam says of the family: Ribonuclease P (RNase P) is a ubiquitous endoribonuclease, found in archaea, bacteria and eukarya as well as chloroplasts and mitochondria. Its best characterised activity is the generation of mature 5'-ends of tRNAs by cleaving the 5'-leader elements of precursor-tRNAs. Lineage: Bacteria; Pseudomonadati; Pseudomonadota; Gammaproteobacteria; Oceanospirillales; Alcanivoracaceae. The record is from RNAcentral.
CGGACCGGUCAGACAGUCGCUGGCAGUCGUUCUUUUGAAGGAUGACUGCUGGAGGAAAGUCCGGGCUCCGCAGGGCAGGGUGCCAGGUAACGCCUGGGGGUCGCACUGGCAACGGUGAGGCUACGGCUAGUGCCACAGAAAAUAUACCGCCGGUUUCUCCUCUGGAUGGAUCGGUAAGGGUGAAAAGGUGCGGUAAGAGCGCACCGCGCCGCUGGUAACAGCGGUGGCAGGGUAAACCCCACCCGGAGCAAGACCAAAUAGGGAUCCUAUGGCGUGGCCCGCGCUGGAUCCGGGUAGGU